Molecule: ribosomal RNA, 253 nt
Filed under: uncultured bacterium
Lineage: Bacteria
Description: partial 16S ribosomal RNA
Rfam family: Bacterial small subunit ribosomal RNA
Source: RNAcentral
UACGGAGGAUGCAGGCGUUAUCCGGAUUUAUUAGGUUUAAAGGGUGCGCAGGCGGCCCUAUAAGUCAGUGGUGAAAGUUUGCGGCUUAACCGUAAAAUUGCCAUUGAUACUGUAGGGCUUGAAUGUGGUAGAGGUAGGCGGAAUGUGUAGUGUAGCGGUGAAAUGCUUAGAUAUUACACAGAACACCGAUUGCGAAGGCAGCUUACUAUGCCAUGAUUGACGCUGAGGCACGAAAGCGUGGGUAGCGAACAGG